AUUGAACGCUGGCGGCAGGCCUAACACAUGCAAGUCGAGCGGAUGAAGGGAGCUUGCUCCUGGAUUCAGCGGCGGACGGGUGAGUAAUGCCUAGGAAUCUGCCUGGUAGUGGGGGAUAACGUCCGGAAACGGGCGCUAAUACCGCAUACGUCCUGAGGGAGAAAGUGGGGGAUCUUCGGACCUCACGCUAUCAGAUGAGCCUAGGUCGGAUUAGCUAGUUGGUGGGGUAAAGGCCUACCAAGGCGACGAUCCGUAACUGGUCUGAGAGGAUGAUCAGUCACACUGGAACUGAGACACGGUCCAGACUCCUACGGGAGGCAGCAGUGGGGAAUAUUGGACAAUGGGCGAAAGCCUGAUCCAGCCAUGCCGCGUGUGUGAAGAAGGUCUUCGGAUUGUAAAGCACUUUAAGUUAGGAGGAAGGGCAGUAAGUUAAUACCUUGCUGUUUUGACGUUACCAACAGAAUAAGCACCGACUAACUUCGUG
This 484-nucleotide ribosomal RNA is filed under the name uncultured bacterium. RNAcentral describes it as "partial 16S ribosomal RNA". It matches the Rfam family "Bacterial small subunit ribosomal RNA", at positions 30 to 507 of the family's 1533-position model. The record is from RNAcentral.